RNAcentral lists this ribosomal RNA (482 nucleotides) under uncultured bacterium. Its description in RNAcentral is "bacterial SSU rRNA". It matches the Rfam family "Bacterial small subunit ribosomal RNA", at positions 15 to 518 of the family's 1533-position model. The record is from RNAcentral.
GAUUAUGGCUCAGGAUGAACGCUGGCGGCGUGCUUAACACAUGCAAGUGCGCGGUGAUCUCAAGAAGUUUCGGACGGAAAGGGAGAGCAGCAGCGGACGGGUGAGUAAAGCACAAGGACUUGUCCCGAAGAGGGGGACAACUGUGGGAAACCACAGCUAAUACCCCAUAAGCCGAGAGGUGAAAGCAGCGAUGCGCUUUAGGAGAGACUUGUGUCCUAUCAGGUAGUUGGUGAGGUAACGGCUCACCAAGCCGAAGACGGGUAGCCGGACUGAGAGGUUUGUACGGCCACAUUGGAACUGAGAGACGGUCCAGACUCCUACGGGAGGCAGCAGUGGGGAAUAUUGGGCAAUGGGGGCAACCCUGACCCAGCGACGCCGCGUGAGGGAAGACAGCCUUCGGGUUGUAAACCUCUGUUGCAGGGGAAGAAGAAAGUGACGGUACCCUGCGAGGAAGCUCCGGCAAACUACGUGCCAGCCGCCGC